Pangasianodon hypophthalmus (striped catfish) is the source of this 459-nucleotide long non-coding RNA. RefSeq lists it as uncharacterized. Lineage: Eukaryota; Metazoa; Chordata; Actinopteri; Siluriformes; Pangasiidae. The record is from RefSeq and is a predicted model, not a curated record. The transcript is spliced from 3 exons.
GCAGGAAACCCUGCACGUGUUCCAAAUGAUUAUAUGCCUGCGGGACAAGGGGGUAGGGGGUGUGGAGCCAUACAAGGAAAAGAAUUGAAACCAGACCCAUAUAGGACGUCUGUUAACGAGGAAUGCUUCUCUUGUCUUGUCCACAUUUGUCUUGACUUACAUUCUGGCUUCUUUCCUCCUCACUCGUUGUGUCAAAGUGACUAGUGCCUAGUGCUAAUACGUGUGCUGAUUCCUGCAGAAGCCUCCUAUGUAUGCAUGUUUUUUUAAAGACAGGAAGACAGCUAUAUAGGUUACACAGGCACUUUCAGAUCAGCUGUCAGUUUCAUGGCCCAAUGACUCAAUCAGUGCGAAGGAUCAGCUCUUGCUGGACUCGGAGGGUGGGACGUUCAGCUCCUGCUUGCUUCUGAAAUGAAACAGGAGAAAAUAGGUGUCAUGUUUUAAAGGCUUCUUCAUUAGCUA